AGAGUUUGAUCAUGGCUCAGAACGAACGUUGGCGGCGUGGAUUAGGCAUGCAAGUCGAACGGGGUUGGGGGCAACUCCAACCUAGUGGCGAACGGGUGAGUAACGCGUGGGAAACCUGCCCUCAGGAUGGGGAUAACACUUCCAACGAGGUGCUAAUACCGGAUAAGACCACGGAUCUGCAUGGAUCUGGGGUCAAAGGUGGCCUCUGCUUGCAAGCUACCACCUGUGGAUGGUCCCGCGUCCCAUUAGCUAGUUGGCGGGGUAACGGCCCACCAAGGCGACGAUGGGUAGCUGGUCUGAGAGGAUGGUCAGCCACACUGGGACUGAGAUACGGCCCAGACUCCUACGGGAGGCAGCAGUCGAGAGGCUUCGGCAAUGGGGGAAACCCUGACCGAGCGACGCCGCGUGGGCGAUGAAGGCCUUCGGGUUGUAAAGCCCUGUCGUGCGGGAAGAAGGGUCCAACGGCAAACAGUCGAGGGACCUUGACGGUACCGCAAAAGGAAGCUCCGGCUAACUCCGUGCCAGCAGCCGCGGUAAUACGGGGGGAGCAAACGUUGUUCGGAAUCACUGGGCGUAAAGGGCGCGUAGGCGGCCUCGUAAGUGGGAUGUGAAAGGUCCUGGCUCAACCAGGGACGUGCCUCCUAUACUGCGGGGCUUGAGUGCAGGAGAGGAUGGGGGAAUUCCCGGUGUAGCGGUGAAAUGCAUUGAUAUCGGGAGGAACACCAGUGGCGAAGGCGCUCAUCUGGCCUGUAACUGACGCUCAGGCGCGAAAGCUGGGAGAGCAAACAGGAUUAGAUACUCUGGUAGUCCCAGCUGUAAACGGUGGGCACUAGGUGUGGGGGGCAUCGACCUCUUCCGUGCCGAAGCUAACGCAUUAAGUGCCUCGUCUGGGGAGUACGACCGCAAGGUUGAAACUCAAAGGAAUUG
Molecule: ribosomal RNA, 927 nt
Filed under: uncultured bacterium
Lineage: Bacteria
Description: bacterial SSU rRNA
Rfam family: Bacterial small subunit ribosomal RNA
Source: RNAcentral